CCUACGGGAGGCUGCAGUGGGGAAUAUUGCACAAUGGGGGAAACCCUGAUGCAGCGACGCCGCGUGAGGGAUGAAGGUUUUCGGAAUGUAAAGUCCUUUCAGUAGGGAAGAAAAUGACGGUAUCUGAGGAAUAAGCACCGGCUAACUCCGUGCCAGCAGCCGCGGUAAUACGGAGGGGGCAAGCGUUAUCCGGAAUUACUGGGCGUAAAGGGCGCGUAGGCGGGAUAGCAAGUCAGAUGUGAAAGCCUGUGGCUUAACCGCAGAACUGCAUUUGAAACUGUUAUUCUAGAGUACGGGAGAGGUAGGUGGAAUUCUUGGUGUAGCGGUAAAAUGCGUAGAUAUCAAGAGGAAUACUAAUGGCGAAGGCGACCUGCUAGAAGAUAACUGACGCUGAUGCGCGAAAGCGUGGGGAGCAAACAGGAUUAGAUACCCCUGUAGUC
Molecule: ribosomal RNA, 440 nt
Filed under: uncultured bacterium
Lineage: Bacteria
Description: partial 16S ribosomal RNA
Rfam family: Bacterial small subunit ribosomal RNA
Source: RNAcentral